CCUACGGGAGGCAGCAGUGGGGAAUAUUGCGCAAUGGGCGAAAGCCUGACGCAGCGACGCCGCGUGCGGGAUGAAGGUCUUCGGAUCGUAAACCUCUGUCAGCAGGGAAGAACGGUCACUGUGCUAAUCAGCAGUGAAUUGACGGUACCUGCAAAGGAAGCAUCGGCUAACUCCGUGCCAGCAGCCGCGGUAAUACGGAGGAUGCGAGCGUUAUCCGGAGUUAUUGGGUUUAAAGGGUGCGCAGGCGGAGGCACAAGUCAGCGGUAAAAUCGCGGGGCUCAACCCCGCUCCGCCGUUGAAACUGUGUCCCGUGAGAGCGCGAAGGGUAGGCGGAAGGCGUGGUGUAGCGGUGAAAUGCAUAGAUAUCACGCAGAACUCCGAUCGCGAAGGCAGCCUACCGGCGCGCAACUGACGCUCAUGCACGAAAGCGUGGGUAUCGAACAGGAUUAGAUACCCCUGUAGUC
Molecule: ribosomal RNA, 464 nt
Filed under: uncultured bacterium
Lineage: Bacteria
Description: partial 16S ribosomal RNA
Rfam family: Bacterial small subunit ribosomal RNA
Source: RNAcentral